Molecule: ribosomal RNA, 497 nt
Filed under: uncultured bacterium
Lineage: Bacteria
Description: partial 16S ribosomal RNA
Rfam family: Bacterial small subunit ribosomal RNA
Source: RNAcentral
GAUGAACGCUGGCGGCGUGCCUAAUACAUGCAAGUCGAGCGAACAGAUAAGGAGCUUGCUCCUUUGACGUUAGCGGCGGACGGGUGAGUAACACGUGGGUAACCUACCUAUAAGACUGGGAUAACUUCGGGAAACCGGAGCUAAUACCGGAUAACAUUUGGAACCGCAUGGUUCUAAAGUGAAAGAUGGUUUUGCUAUCACUUAUAGAUGGACCCGCGCCGUAUUAGCUAGUUGGUAAGGUAACGGCUUACCAAGGCAACGAUACGUAGCCGACCUGAGAGGGUGAUCGGCCACACUGGAACUGAGACACGGUCCAGACUCCUACGGGAGGCAGCAGUAGGGAAUCUUCCGCAAUGGGCGAAAGCCUGACGGAGCAACGCCGCGUGAGUGAUGAAGGGUUUCGGCUCGUAAAACUCUGUUAUUAGGGAAGAACAAAUGUGUAAGUAACUGUGCACGUCCUGACGGUACCUAAUCAGAAAGCCACGGCUAACUACGUG